UACGGGGGGGGCAAGCGUUGUUCGGAAUUACUGGGCGUAAAGGGCUCGUAGGCGGCCAACUAAGUCAGACGUGAAAUCCCCAGGCUCAACCUGGGAACUGCGUCUGAUACUGGAUGGCUUGAAUCCGGGAGAGGGAUGCAGAAUUCCAGGUGUAGCGGUGAAAUGCGUAGAUAUCAGGAGGAACACCGGUGGCGAAGGCGGAUCUCUGGGCCUUACCUGACGCUGAGGCGCGAAAGCUAGGGGAGCGAACAGG
RNAcentral lists this ribosomal RNA (253 nucleotides) under uncultured bacterium. Its description in RNAcentral is "partial 16S ribosomal RNA". It matches the Rfam family "Bacterial small subunit ribosomal RNA", at positions 524 to 776 of the family's 1533-position model. The record is from RNAcentral.